RNAcentral lists this small RNA (159 nucleotides) under Chrysemys picta bellii (western painted turtle). RNAcentral's name for it is "TUC338 (ENSCPBG00000028415.1)". The record is from RNAcentral. Lineage: Eukaryota; Metazoa; Chordata; Testudines; Emydidae.
UUCGCUGUUUUUGUGACGUAAGUGCUUUAGUAGUCCACAAGAUAGGCAGUGAGAACUACCCCACAUUGCCCCAUCAAUGUAGCUCAGUCCUGACCUGGAGGGACCAGAUUUAAGUAUGAGGGACAUUCAUUCCCUAUGACCACUUAAUGUUUGACCUCA